Molecule: ribosomal RNA, 465 nt
Filed under: uncultured bacterium
Lineage: Bacteria
Description: partial 16S ribosomal RNA
Rfam family: Bacterial small subunit ribosomal RNA
Source: RNAcentral
GACGAACGCUGGCGGCGUGCUUAACACAUGCAAGUCGAACGGAAAAGGCCCUUUGGGGGUACUCUUCUGGCGCACGGGGGAGUAACACGCGUGUAAACCUCCCUGGACUUCGGGAUUACCUUAGGAAAACGGGGCCAAUUCCCGCAUGGGAUCCUUGCUAGAUGGUGGGGGUUGGAAAGCUUCGGCGGUUUUGGAUGGACCUGGGGCUUAUCAGCUUGUUGGUGGGGUAGUGGCUUACCAAGGCGUGGACCGGUAGCCGGCCUGAGAGGGCGACCGGCCACAGUGGGUCUGAGAGGCGGCCCAGGCUGCUAAUGGAGGCAGCAGUGGGGAAGAUUGAACAAUGGGCGGAGGCCGGAUGCAGCAAGUCCGCGGACGGGAUGACAGCCUUCGGUGUGUAAAACGGUAUUAGCAGGGGCGAAUCCUGUGGUGACGUUACCUGCAGAAGAAGCACCGGCUAACUACGUG